UAUUGCGCAAUGGAGGAAACUCUGACGCAGUGACGCCGCGUAUAGGAAGAAGGUUUUCGGAUUGUAAACUAUUGUCAUUAGGGAAGAUAAAAGACUGUACCUAAGGAGGAAGCCCCGGCUAACUAUGUGCCAGCAGCCGCGGUAAUACAUAGGGGGCAAGCGUUAUCCGGAAUUAUUGGGUGUAAAGGGUGCGUAGACGGAAGAACAAGUUGGUUGUGAAAUCCCUCGGCUCAACUGAGGAACUGCAACCAAAACUAUUCUCCUUGAGUGUCGGAGAGGAAAGUGGAAUUCCUAGUGUAGCGGUGAAAUGCGUAGAUAUUAGGAGGAACACCAGUGGCGAAGGCGGGUUGCUAGACUGUAACUGACACUGAGGCACGAAAGCGUGGGGAGCAAACAGG
RNAcentral lists this ribosomal RNA (398 nucleotides) under uncultured bacterium. RNAcentral describes it as "bacterial SSU rRNA". It matches the Rfam family "Bacterial small subunit ribosomal RNA", at positions 362 to 776 of the family's 1533-position model. The record is from RNAcentral.